ACCUGCGUCGUUUCUCAGCCACCCCGCCCUCCCGCGGCUCUCGGGGGGGGGCGGCCGCUGCGGGGGGCGGCUCUGUCGCCUCUUGCCCACAGGCCCGACUCGCCUCGAGGGGCUGUGGCGGCGGCCGGCUCUGCGAUGGGAUCCUGCCAGCUGCCCUGGCGGGUAAAGAGGAGGAGGUGCGACGUGACGCCAUGUUAGUCACCCCCCUCGAGGUGCUGAGGUAACCCGCCUCCCCUGGACGCUGACGGCCAGGCUGAGGAGAUCCUCCCGGCUGGUUGUAAGCCGGCUCCGCGGCCGUGCGGGUGCAGGCAGUGUGGAGGAAGAAGCUGGCUUUGGUGGGGCAGACCAGAGAGCCGUGAAGUGCAAGAAGCAGCUGUGCAAGAGGACGAGGAGCCGGGGAGGAAGGUCAGGAUGUGCCACUUGUGGGGUUCAGUUGUGAAACACUUGGAUACUGCUGUGAAGAGUCUUAUGGUAAUGAGAGACUGGGAAGUAACAAUUCCUGUAUUCUGUGAAGAGUGAAGUAUUUCAGUGAAGAAAAAAAGCAGGGCAUUAAAAAAAAAAGCCUGAACAAAAGAUUAACAUUGUCAUGAACACAAGCUGAAGUCUUGCAAAGAGUGAAAGAGCAUUCAAAAUGUGUAAUCAGACUGUUUUGUCACGUGACAUCAGUGAUACGAGAUUUAAUUAUGUUUAUAUGGCAGUUUUCUAAUAUUUGAUUCUGCUUCUGUUGUUCUUCCAACACAGAGCUUUAAUAAUUAAAAAAUCAAACAUUUCUGUGGUGCUCAUUUCUGUAUGAAGUAUUUUGUCAGGCUAAACUUUCUUCAGUCAUCUCAUACUAUUAAAUGAUUGCACCACUGCGUGACAUAUGUUCUCUCUCUUUUUGUAUUACGUAAAUACAUUUUUCCUUUUAUGUAAAUGCUUCCUGUACUAAACCUAAUGUGUCUUAAGAAUUUCACCUUUUUUUUAAGUCGCUCUUGACAAAACUUAACAAGCUUGUUGGCUAGCAUCGACAUGAAAAUGAUUUCUCUUUCCAAAGCUUGUCAUCAGCUUUCCCCCUCCAUCUACCAUUUGGGUUUCUUGUAGUGUUGGGCUUCAGGAUUUGACACCAAUGAUGAAAGAAGGGAUUUCAGGAAUAUCAUUCUUCAGUUUGUGAGAUUCUGACUCAACCUGGUGUGAGUUUUCAGUGGAUUAAGUGGAUGUUGAUUCGUGUCAUAUGACUACAGUCAUAAAACUGUAAUCUUGAGCCAUAUCUUGUGAUUUAAGAUAAGAACUAUUUUUUUAACUUUUUUUUUAAACUUUUAACAUAGUAACUGUUUAACCAUGAGUAAUGCAUAUUUUAAUUCCAGACCCUAAGUGAUAAUAUUUGGCAAAAAUAGAGCUAAACUGUUUUUCACCAUACAGAAGAGUACUGAGAGAGUUGUUUGUGUUAAGUCUGGACAUAGUUGUAUGACAGUGUUUUUUGGAUGUUGAUAG
Grus americana (Whooping crane) is the source of this 1470-nucleotide long non-coding RNA. RefSeq lists it as uncharacterized. The record is from RefSeq and is a predicted model, not a curated record. Lineage: Eukaryota; Metazoa; Chordata; Aves; Gruiformes; Gruidae. The transcript is spliced from 3 exons.